GAUAAGCUAUCUCAGAAUGUAGAACUCAGAUGGGCCUUCCAAUCCUAUGGAUCUUAGCUGCCCGGGAUAUGAGUUAUGCUUUUCCCGUUUUUGUUGGAAAGUACCUUUCACUUUCAUUGGCAUGCAGGAUUCACUUCACAGUCAAUUUUUUUCUUCUUGACAGAAAGCAUUCCAUCCUUCCCUUCCUUCAUUGAUUGAUUCUACACCGACUGGAAUUGGAAUGACCUGGCUACGACCGAUGGGAUUGGUUCGCUGGCAAAGCUCUCUUACCGGCUCUAAGAUGCCAACACCUGUUGUAUCUGAUAUAGCUCUAUCAUGCCUGCUUAUGAAUGUAAUUAUGUAAGAUGAAGCAUGGAAAGAACAACCUAUUCUUCCUCUUUUUUUUUCUGAGAUUGUUUUUUAUCCUUCCUUGCUCCCGUUGAGGGAUAGAACUCUCCCAAUGAAGUAGGUGAUACAUCCGAACAAGAAGAAUAUAAGCAGACUAAGACAGUGAUUCGGAUCUCACACCUUCCACCAGCCUGGUAAGAGGCUGACAGGGAAAAGAUGGUGGUUGAAGCAUAGAGCACAUUUCCUCUUUCAGAUAGACUUUUCUCUUUGCUAACUCGAUUGACUAGUUCACGAAGAAAGUCAUAGUAUAGAAAGGCGAGAAAGACCCAGCGCAAGGGAAAUGCAAUCCAAUCCCUCUCUGUUGGGGUUACGGCGCGAUGCCAGCCUUAAAUAGAAUAUCCCCCGUCCCUGCCUUUAGUGAUUAGUGAUUGGUCUCGCCCUUCCAGUAAGUAAAGGAUCUGUCUCUGGUUGUCUUCUGUGCCCCCUUUCGGGGUGAUAUCGGCCUUUUCACAGGGCAGGGGUGCCAUUGAUGGGGCCAAUCGCAUUCCCCUUCUCGUUCGGGCGCUACGUACCCUCACUAAGCUGUCUGGUUUGAUGCAACUAUUGAAACUGCUUUCCAAUCGCCAGGUAAGCAAGUUCCUUUUCU
This 973-nucleotide long non-coding RNA is filed under the name Nicotiana benthamiana. RNAcentral's name for it is "long non-coding RNA (NBEN_LNC035901)". The record is from RNAcentral. Lineage: Eukaryota; Viridiplantae; Streptophyta; Magnoliopsida; Solanales; Solanaceae.